RNAcentral lists this ribosomal RNA (503 nucleotides) under uncultured bacterium. RNAcentral's name for it is "partial 16S ribosomal RNA". It matches the Rfam family "Bacterial small subunit ribosomal RNA", at positions 30 to 523 of the family's 1533-position model. The record is from RNAcentral.
AUUGAACGCUGGCGGCAGGCUUAACACAUGCAAGUCGAGCGGGGUGAUGGUGCUUGCACUAUCACUUAGCGGCGGACGGGUGAGUAAUGCUUAGGAAUCUGCCUAUUAGUGGGGGACAACAUAUCGAAAGGGAUGCUAAUACCGCCUACGUCCUACGGGAGAAAGCAGGGGAUCACUUGUGACCUCGCGCUACUCGAUGAGACUAAGUCGGAUUAGCUAGUUGGUGGGGUAAAGGCCUACCAAGGCGACGAUCUGUAGCGGGUCUGAGAGGAUGAUCCGCCACACUGGGACUGAGACACGGCCCAGACUCCUACGGGAGGCAGCAGUGGGGAAUAUUGGACAAUGGGGGGAACCCUGAUCCAGCCAUGCCGCGUGUGUGAAGAAGGCCUUAUGGUUGUAAAGCACUUUAAGCGAGGAGGAGGCUCUUUUGGUUAAUACCCAAGAUGAGUGGACGUUACUCGCAGAAUAAGCACCGGCUAACUCUGUGCCAGCCGCCGCCGUAA